RNAcentral lists this ribosomal RNA (785 nucleotides) under uncultured bacterium. Its description in RNAcentral is "bacterial SSU rRNA". It matches the Rfam family "Bacterial small subunit ribosomal RNA", at positions 604 to 1394 of the family's 1533-position model. The record is from RNAcentral.
UCGGCUCAACCGAGAAACUGCCAUUGAUACUGUUGGUCUAGAGUGUAGUUGGCGUAGGCGGAAUAUAUCAUGUAGCGGUGAAAUGCUUAGAUAUGAUAUAGAACACCGAUCGCGAAGGCAGCUUACGAAACUACAACUGACGCUCAGGGACGAAAGCGUGGGGAGCGAACAGGAUUAGAUACCCUGGUAGUCCACGCCGUAAACGAUGAUUACUCGUUGUCGGCAAUAUACAGUCGGUGGCUAAGCGAAAGCGAUAAGUAAUCCACCUGGGGAGUACGAUCGCAAGGUUGAAACUCAAAGGAAUUGACGGGGGCCCGCACAAGCGGAGGAGCAUGUGGUUUAAUUCGAUGAUACGCGAGGAACCUUACCUGGGCUUAAAUGCAUAAUGACGUACUGGGAAACCGGUAUUUCUUCGGACAUUUUGCAAGGUGCUGCAUGGUUGUCGUCAGCUCGUGCCGUGAGGUGUCGGGUUAAGUCCCAUAACGAGCGCAACCCCUAUCGUUAGUUGCCAUCAGGUCAUGCUGGGGACUCUAACGAAACUGCCACCGUAAGGUGUGAGGAAGGUGGGGAUGACGUCAAAUCAGCACGGCCCUUACGUCCAGGGCCACACACGUGCUACAAUGGCCGAUACAGAGGGCAGCCACUUGGUGACAAGGAGCAAAUCUCAAAAGUCGGUCUCAGUUCGGAUCGAAGUCUGCAACUCGACUUCGUGAAGUUGGAUUCGCUAGUAAUCGUAGAUCAGCAAUGCUACGGUGAAUACGUUCCCGGGCCUUGUACACACCGCC